This 221-nucleotide long non-coding RNA is filed under the name Sorghum bicolor (sorghum). Its description in RNAcentral is "long non-coding RNA (SBIC_LNC009566)". The record is from RNAcentral. Lineage: Eukaryota; Viridiplantae; Streptophyta; Magnoliopsida; Poales; Poaceae.
CCACAAUUUCACAUACAUCACUUAGUGUCCCGUUGCACACCUGCCUCCAGGUGAUUGCCAUACUAAUUAGAGGGAUUUAGACUAAGCCUUUCACAUGCAAGGCGAGUGGUUGUACGAUAAAUGAGUUAGGCAAGAUGAAUCAUCAACUCAGUCCUUAAUCGAGACAAGGCGGAUAUCUUCUCGCUUAACCCCGCAAGGUAUAAGCCACAACACCAGGGCAU